AAACAGAAAUAAAGGAAAUGUGAUAGGUGUGAAGGAAAAGGAAGAGGAGUGUGGGAACAAGGGCCAGUGGGAUUAAGCCCACGAAACACUCAGGGAAAAGAAAAAAUAAGUUCCCUCAUUCUUCGUUCAAAAAUUUAAAACUCUCUCACUCUGUCAGGUCGGAGCUCGUGGUCGACGGCAAUGGAACUCUAACUACCACCCCCAGACCCACUAAUCUCAACCUUUUACUCUGUUGAUCAUGAAAACUUAGCUCUUUUCAACAUAUUCUCAACCUUCUGAGCAAAUCGAAGGAAAAUAGGUUUAGUGAUGUUGAGCCAAUGAUGCUAUGCUUGAAAUUUUGUCAUGACCUAGGAUUGUAUGGUCUGAUGUGGUGAAGUCAACUACAGGUGAUUGUUGCAUUAUUGGCUGCAAGUGGAUACUAGUUAUUACCUUGUUUGAAAUAUGUGAGAUGAAUUGUUGUAUUGCUGAUGUUGUCAUGGGCUGCAAUGAAAUGCUAGGAAAUGCUGAAAAGUUGUUUGUACUUUGCAGGUUGAAUCAGAUUUUGUAGGUGAAUUAUUGUUGUUUUUCUUAUGUUCUACAACAUUUGGUUUGUGGUUUGCAUCAGGUUCUUGCUCAUGUUUGCAUAGCCUCAUGGUUUGUGCAUGAUGAUGCUCUCAUUUGCAGGUUUGGUUAUGGUUCUGAUGUUGUACCCCAUGUUUGCUCCAUUGACUUCAUUCUAGUUUGGUGUGCUUUGUGGUUUACAACAGGUAAUGCAUGCCAUGACAUCCAAAUUGGAACUUCAAGCAUCCAAGUACACAUGGCCAACCAAAGAUCAAAGAUGGAAUUUGAAGAUAUGAUUAGAAUUAAGGUAGAGAUUUUGGAUGAAAAAUGGUUGAGUUAACUUUGGUCAAAGUUGACCAAAAAGUCAACGGUUGACCAAAGUCAACAUUUGGUCAAAGUGCAAUUUUUUGUAAUUUUUCAUGUAUGGACAUUUGUAAUGAAUAUGUAAUAAAUGGAAUUUGAUGUUUUUUAUGAAAUUGGAUUGAUAUUUGAAUGGA
Lathyrus oleraceus (garden pea) is the source of this 1037-nucleotide long non-coding RNA. RefSeq lists it as uncharacterized. The record is from RefSeq and is a predicted model, not a curated record. The transcript has 3 exons. Lineage: Eukaryota; Viridiplantae; Streptophyta; Magnoliopsida; Fabales; Fabaceae.